UACGUAGGGUGCGAGCGUUAAUCGGAAUUACUGGGCGUAAAGCGUGCGCAGGCGGUUCGUUGUGUCGGCGGUGAAAGCCCCGGGCUCAACCCGGGAAUGGCCGUUGAAACUGGCGAACUGGAGUGUGGCAGAGGGGGGUGGAAUUCCGCGUGUAGCAGUGAAAUGCGUAGAGAUGCGGAGGAACACCGAUGGCGAAGGCAGCCCCCUGGGCUGACACUGACGCUCAGGCACGAAAGCGUGGGGAGCAAACAGG
This 253-nucleotide ribosomal RNA is filed under the name uncultured bacterium. RNAcentral's name for it is "partial 16S ribosomal RNA". It matches the Rfam family "Bacterial small subunit ribosomal RNA", at positions 524 to 776 of the family's 1533-position model. The record is from RNAcentral.